UGGUGGGUUGCCUUGUCAGGUUGAUUCCGGUAACGAACGAGACCUCAGCCUGCUAAAUAGGUGCGUCUGCUCUGGCAGUCGACAACUUCUUAGAGGGACUAUUGGCGUCUAGCCAAUGGAAGUAUGAGGCAAUAACA
RNAcentral lists this ribosomal RNA (137 nucleotides) under uncultured eukaryote. Its description in RNAcentral is "partial 18S ribosomal RNA". It matches the Rfam family "Eukaryotic small subunit ribosomal RNA", at positions 1299 to 1458 of the family's 1831-position model. The record is from RNAcentral.